Molecule: long non-coding RNA, 366 nt
Organism: Zea mays
Lineage: Eukaryota; Viridiplantae; Streptophyta; Magnoliopsida; Poales; Poaceae
Exons: 2
Source: RefSeq, a predicted model, not a curated record
CUACUCAUACACUUAUUUUCUGUGAACAUGAAAGCAUUGUCUAAACAGUCCUUUCUGUAUCCACUGAAUUUACAAUAUUUUGUUAUGCUCAAUAUUUUUUCAAGAUGAUGCCCUUUUUCAUAGUUAUGUUUAAAUUCAGAAACACAUGAAUUUUACAAGCAUUCUGAGUUGCAUGUGGCCCUUUUCCUGAGCUAUGUAAAGAACUACAACAUCAACAAGAGCUGGCAGAACUAAGAUGAUUGUUCCCGUCGCUCCUUCAUUUGUGUGUGCUAACCGUGCUGACAAGAGGAAGGAGUUCUACACAAAAUUAGAGGAGAAACAUAAAGCUUUGGAAGCAGAGAAGGACGAGGCUGAGGCCAGGAAAAA